This 681-nucleotide long non-coding RNA is filed under the name Carica papaya (papaya). Its description in RNAcentral is "long non-coding RNA (CPAP_LNC007084)". Lineage: Eukaryota; Viridiplantae; Streptophyta; Magnoliopsida; Brassicales; Caricaceae. The record is from RNAcentral.
GUUUAAAUGCAUGUAUUACUGUCUUACUUGACUACUGUUUGAUUUUGGAAAUCUAAGAUAUGAUUGCAUUAUUAGAUGCACGUUACUUGUUUAUAUAUUUAUGUUGAUUUGGUGAUGGAGACUAAGUACAAAUAGGAAUGGGAUAUGAUCUCAUAAAUGGAUAAGAUGACAGUCUCACUAGAUAUCCUAGGAGAUGGUGGACGGAUCGGGUUCAUAGGGAACCCUACCGUGAACGUUGUCUCAUACCGGACGGGGUAUGCAAACUUGAUCAUUUGACACUCAUACCGGACGGGGUAUGGGGGCGGCCCGCUUCACCCUCAUACCGAACGGAGUAUUGAUGUUUAAUGUCUUUGCACUUAUAUCGAACGGGGUAUGGGAACGACCAUGGAAUUAAGAUUGUUAAGAAAAAUAGUUCAUGUGUAACGAGAACACCCUUAUGGAUCCCCAUGGAUACUAGUAGACUAGUAAAACGAGAAGUGUUGAUGAUCAAUUAUUGUUAAUGAAUACGAAUUCAUGAUAUGUUCUAUGUUACUGAUUAUGCAUGAAAUUGUUAUCCAUAUGAUAUUAUUGCUUUUAUAAAUUGUUUCCAUAAAUUCCACAAUAGUAAGUGAACGGUAAAUGAUUUCAUUUAUGAUAAACGAAUCUAUUUGAAUCUACUUCUCCAUUGGUUGUUUUGAUUUU